AUGACCUUCAUCAUCAUCUUCAUCUGGACUCUCACAGCGUUUGCUCAAGAGUGUAGAGGACAGAUCACCGUCACUCAGAGUCCCUCAAUGACAGCAGCUCAACCAGAACAAACUGUGAACAUCAACUGUAAAACCAGCACAGAUGUGCAGAGAUGGCCUAGUGGAGAUGAAGGUUUAGCCUGGUACUUACAGAAACCUGGAGAAGCUCCUAAACUCCUGAUUUAUUAUGCAAACAACCUCCAGUCAGGAACUCCAUCUAGAUUCAGUGGCAGUGGAUCUAACAGUGAUUUCACUCUGACCAUCAGUGGAGUCCAGACUGAAGAUGCUGGACUUUAUUACUGUCAGAGUUUCCAUUGCAGAAGACGUUCUGAUGGUCAUUGUGUGGGUGACCAUGUGUUCACACAGUGA
Molecule: non-coding RNA, 408 nt
Organism: Megalobrama amblycephala (Wuchang bream)
Lineage: Eukaryota; Metazoa; Chordata; Actinopteri; Cypriniformes; Xenocyprididae
Source: the annotation of a RefSeq genome assembly